Molecule: ribosomal RNA, 1247 nt
Filed under: Chickpea phyllody phytoplasma
Lineage: Bacteria; Bacillati; Mycoplasmatota; Mollicutes; Acholeplasmatales; Acholeplasmataceae
Description: bacterial SSU rRNA
Rfam family: Bacterial small subunit ribosomal RNA
Source: RNAcentral
GAAACGACUGCUAAGACUGGAUAGGAAGAAAUAAGGCAUCUUAUUUCUUUUAAAAGACCUAGUAAUAGGUAUACUUUAGGAGGGGCUUGCGCCAUAUUAGUUAGUUGGUAGGGUAAUGGCCUACCAAGACGAUGAUGUGUAGCUGGACUGAGAGGUUGAACAGCCACAUUGGGACUGAGACACGGCCCAAACUCCUACGGGAGGCAGCAGUAAGGAAUUUUCGGCAAUGGAGGAAACUCUGACCGAGCAACGCCGCGUGAACGACGAAGUACUUUGGUAUGUAAAGUUCUUUUAUCAAGGAAGAAAAGCAAGUGGCGAACCAUUUGUUUGCCGGUACUUGAUGAAUAAGCCCCGGCUAAUUAUGUGCCAGCAGCCGCGGUAAGACAUAAGGGGCAAGUGUUAUCCGGAAUUAUUGGGCGUAAAGGGUGCGUAGGCGGUCUAGUAAGUCAGUGGUGUAAUGGCAACGCUCAACGUUGUCCGGCUAUUGAAACUGCUAAACUUGAGUUAGAUAGAGGCGGGUGGAAUUCCAUGUGUAGCGGUAAAAUGCGUAAAUAUAUGGAGGAACACCAGAGGCGUAGGCGGCUCGCUGGGUCUUAACUGACGCUGAGGCACGAAAGCGUGGGGAGCAAACAGGAUUGGAUACCCUGGUAGUCCACGCCGUAAACGAUGAGUACUAAGUGUCGGGUUAAACCGGUACUGAAGUUAACACAUUAAGUACUCCGCCUGAGUAGUACGUACGCAAGUAUGAAACUUAAAGGAAUUGACGGGACUCCGCACAAGCGGUGGAUCAUGUUGUUUAAUUCGAAGAUACCCGAAAAACCUUACCAGGUCUUGACAUGUUUUUGCGAAACGGUAGUAAUAUCGUAGAGGUUAUCAGAAACACAGGUGGUGCGUGGUUGUCGUCAGCUCGUGUCGUGAGAUGUUAGGUUAAGUCCUAAAACGAGCGAAACCCUUAUCGUUAGUUGCCAGCACGUUAUGGUGGGGACUUUAACGAGACUGCCAGUGAUAAACUGGAGGAAGGUGAGGAUCACGUCAAAUCAGCAUGCCCCUUAUGACCUGGGCUACAAACGUGAUACAAUGGCUGUUACAAAGGGUAGCUGAAACGUAAGUUCUUGGCCAAUCCCCAAAAACAGUCUCAGUCCGGAUUGAAGUCUGCAACUCGACUUCAUGAAGUUGGAAUCGCUAGUAAUCGCGAAUCAGCAUGUCGCGGUGAAUACGUUCUCGGGGUUUGUACACACCGCCCGUCA